RNAcentral lists this ribosomal RNA (465 nucleotides) under Globigerinoides ruber albus. RNAcentral's name for it is "partial small subunit ribosomal RNA". It matches the Rfam family "Eukaryotic small subunit ribosomal RNA", at positions 1401 to 1686 of the family's 1831-position model. Lineage: Eukaryota; Foraminifera; Rotaliida; Globigerinidae. The record is from RNAcentral.
GGUGGAUAAACUCGGGGGACUGCUGACUAUAACCAUUUCUCAAAACAGAGGAAGGUUGCGGCAAUAACAGGUCUGUGAUGCCCUCAGAUGUCCCGGGCUGCACACGUGCUACAAUGAGUGGCGCAAUGUGCUAAUGUUUAAGGGAUAAGAGUGUGGUCAGUAGAACGUCGGGAUUUCCCCUGACGUCUCCCCCGCACGAUUAUCAGCCUUCCCUUAACAGGGCGGGCAACCUUUUCAAAAUACUGGUUUGAUGUUAAAGUAUUGAGUCGUUUUUUUUGGAUGGUGGUUUGUUAACCAAUACCAUCCGGCAACUGCUCGCGAGUUUGUGGUUCUGGCGACUCAUGGUGGGGACCGACGUUUGUAAUUUUUUGUCGCGUGUUAACUAGGAAUGCCUUGUACUGUCGAUUCACUAAUUUACUGGGAAUACGUCCCUGCCCUUUGUACACACCGCCCGUCGCUCUUACA